This 468-nucleotide ribosomal RNA is filed under the name uncultured bacterium. RNAcentral's name for it is "partial 16S ribosomal RNA". It matches the Rfam family "Bacterial small subunit ribosomal RNA", at positions 28 to 507 of the family's 1533-position model. The record is from RNAcentral.
GACGAACGCUGGCGGCGUGCUUAACACAUGCAAGUCGAACGGAAAGGCCCUGCUCUUUUGGUGUGCUCGAGUGGGGAACGGGUGAGUGACACGCGAGUAACCUGCCCUUGACUUUCUGAUAACUUCAGGCAACAGGGGCUAAUACCGGAUAGGAGCUCCUGCUCCGUGGUGGGGGUUGGAAAGUUUCGGCGGUUGGGGGUGGACUCGCGGCUUAUCGGCGUGUUGGUGGGGUAGUGGCUUACCAAGGCUUUGACGGGUAGCCGGCCUGAGAGGGUGAGCGGCCCCGUCGGGACUACGAUACGGCCCAGACUCGUACGGUAGGCAGCAGUGGGGAAUAUUGUGCAGUGGGGGCGAGCCUGAUGCGACGGCGCCGCGUGCGUUAUAACGGCCUUCGGGUUGUGAACCGCUUUCGCCUGUGACGUGGCGUGAUUGACGGUAAUUGGUAAAGAAGCACCGGCUAACUACGUG